AAUUUAUGUUUAGGAAAGAAGACUUCUAUUCUCCCCUGGACUUCUAUGGGGUUUUAUAAGAAGUGAAAGAAUGACCUAGUUUAGAAAUUAACUUCAUGACCUACUAAUACCAUGAACCUAACACUGACAUUGAAAAGGUUCAAGUUGCAGCAAAGCUUUAAAAAACCUGUAUUUGAGAGCAAUGCUAUUUAUCAAGGACCCAGGUUUGAGCUAGCUGUGGGUUUCCGCCCCUGCCUUUUAGAAUUUUAGCUUAACACUACUAUUUUCCUUUCAGCAGCACCUCUGGGAGUGUAUUUCGGCCAUCGGGAAGAGUAAUGCUGAAGUGAAGUAAAGGUGUGAUGGGAAACUCAGCUGAAUUUAAAGAUGGCUACAUGCCUGAACUCUCUUAAGAUAGGUGACUGCCAAAGGCCAAGAACUGCUCUCUUGACUCUACAGAAACCCGGGCAGGGCUGCCGUAUACUCUGGGUCAAACUGUCUUUUUACAACUGGUCUGGAAGUAAAUCCCUUCAAAUGUGACUCGUCUCUGGUGAGACCAAAAGGUCGAUCACACCACUGUGACGCAGCCAACCAGCACACAGGACGAUUGAUGUGAGAGGAGGAAUUCUUGGCCAGGAGCAGUGGGGGAAAAUAAAACCCUCCCUCUGCUUGGAAAUGCCUGUAACAGAAGGGCCUGUACCCUGAUUUGCUGGAAGGUGUGUCCAAAAUUACAUUCCAUCCAUUCUUUACCACAGAUUCUUAUUGGAGAGGAAAACCUCAAGCUUUCUGCUUUCCAAUUCUUAUCAAAACAAAAGUUAAAAGAAAAAUAUGGAUGGAACAUGGGCUGAAAGACAGGACCAAAAUCCUUGUGGCCAAAUCCUUGGCUUCCCCAACAGGGAUUGAAUCUGCACAGCACGCAUCAGGAUAGCGAAGUCUAAACCUGUGGGCUUUCUGGGAAGUCCCAUUUCUUCAUUUUCUUAUGGUCAUGUGGCUUCCAAUUCUUCCAACAGAAUUGAAGAAUGACAUAAUCAAAUCAUCAGCUUAACUUUAUUAAAUAUGAAUUUUGAUGAUAAAUUACUAUAUGGGUUUUGGCUUAUAAUUCAGAGAGAGUUCAAAGGUCUGAGUGACCCUGCUAUAACAAAACAUCUUCCAUUCUUAUUUGCUUAUUUGUAUAAACAAGUUCUUUCAGGGAACAUUGUAUGUAAAGCAAAAAAUGUGAAUAAAAUUAGUGCUGGUCUGUUUUAUUCUAGCCAUAAAUAAUAUUAACCUAUGAAUACAAAAAUUAAAUAGGGGGGAAACAGUCUACCAACCAAAUUAAUAGAAGCAUUUCCAACAUAAUUCAUUGUAAUUAAAAAUU
Bubalus bubalis (water buffalo) is the source of this 1333-nucleotide long non-coding RNA. RefSeq lists it as uncharacterized. The transcript is spliced from 6 exons. Lineage: Eukaryota; Metazoa; Chordata; Mammalia; Artiodactyla; Bovidae. The record is from RefSeq and is a predicted model, not a curated record.